UGUCUCAAGACUAAGCCAUGCAUGUGCAAGUAUAAACGCUUGAACCGUGAGACUGCGAAUGGCUCAUUAAAUCAGUUAUAGUUUAUUUGAUGGUGUUUACUACGUGGAUAACCGUGGUAAUUCUAGAGCUAAUACAUGCGAAAGGUCCCGACUCUCGUGGAAGGGAUGUAUUUAUUAGAUUCAAAACCAAUGCAGGGUUGUCGCUUCGGUGGCGCCCUGGUACCUUGGUGAUUCAUAGUAACUGCUCGAAUCGCUUGGCCUCCGCGCCGGUGAUGGUUCAUUCAAGUUUCUGCCCUAUCAACUUUCGAUGGUAGGGUAUUGGCCUACCAUGGUUGCAACGGGUGACGGAGAAUUAGGGUUCGAUUCCGGAGAGGGAGCCUGAGAAACGGCUACCACAUCCAAGGAAGGCAGCAGGCGCGCAAAUUACCCAAUCCCGACUCGGGGAGGUAGUGACAAUAAAUAACAAUGCCGGUCCCUACAGUGGUCCGGCAAUUGGAAUGAGUACAAUUCAAACCCCUUAACGAGGAACAAUUGGAGGGCAAGUCUGGUGCCAGCAGCCGCGGUAAUUCCAGCUCCAAUAGCGUAUAUUAAAGUUGUUGCAGUUAAAAAGCUCGUAGUUGGAUUUCGGGGCCCCGGGCGGUUGUGACGUUGUCUGUUGGCUUGUCCUUCAGGCUCGUUAUGGCCGUCGGUCUCUGAGUCGGAUCGGUCCGCCGAGAGGCGUGCACUGACCGACGGCCCCUGUUGUCUCUCGGGUUGCCCGCCUGCUCUUAGCUGCAGUGGACGGGGAGUUCGGGACGUUUACUUUGAACAAAUUAGAGUGUUCCAAGCAGGCCGUUUGCUUUGAAUACAUUAGCAUGGAAUAAUGGAAUAGGGCUGCGUGGCCCGUCGCUCUCGGGUGGCGGGUCCUUGCGUCCUAUUUUGUUGGUUUUCGGGACCGCAGUCAUGGUCAAGAGGGACAGUUGGGGGCAUUCGUAUUCAGUUGUCAGAGGUGAAAUUCUUGGAUUUACGGAAGA
Molecule: ribosomal RNA, 1013 nt
Filed under: Callyspongia sp. NZCC3
Lineage: Eukaryota; Metazoa; Porifera; Demospongiae; Haplosclerida; Callyspongiidae
Description: SSU rRNA
Rfam family: Eukaryotic small subunit ribosomal RNA
Source: RNAcentral